This 253-nucleotide ribosomal RNA is filed under the name uncultured bacterium. Its description in RNAcentral is "partial 16S ribosomal RNA". It matches the Rfam family "Bacterial small subunit ribosomal RNA", at positions 524 to 776 of the family's 1533-position model. The record is from RNAcentral.
UACAGAGGUGGCAAGCGUUGUUCGGAAUUACUGGGCGUAAAGGGCGCGUAGGCGGUCUUCUAAGUCUUGUGUGAAAUCCCUCGGCUCAACUGAGGAACUGCACGGGAUACUGGAAGACUUGAGUUCGGGAGAGGGAAGCGGAAUUCCGGGUGUAGCGGUGAAAUGCGUAGAUAUGCGGAGGAACACCGAUGGCGAAGGCAAUCCCCUGGGCCUGUACUGACGCUCAUGCACGAAAGCGUGGGGAGCAAACAGG